GCGUCUCCUCGUCGUCCCCUCGCAGUGCCCGGCUUCCCUCAGCCCAUCCUCCCCCUCUGCCUGCUGCUGCCCGGGCAGUGGAUCCCCUGCGGCAGCCCCUCGCGCCCUGUCAGAGCACCGCUCCAGCUGGUGACCCCAGGCCCGGGCUAAGCAGCCUGCAGGAGGCCGUGGCCGUGCUGAGGGGCUUCUUUCCACAGAUCCAACGUGCCCAGCCCGCUGCCAGCACUGCCGUGCACGAGGGCUGCUCUCAGGCACCGGAGCCAUGGCGCCAGGCGGCGGCGGAGGCUCCCGGCUUCAGAAACACCUGCACUCUGUCUAGACAGACUUCCCUGGCCAAAACAGAUACGGCAACAACCAGUUCAAAGCAUCCACUGCCUCUCCAACGCCGUGCUUCCCUUAGACAGCUUCCUGGCCCUCCCAGUGCAUGCAUACCGCUCGCUUCCUACACCACUGAGCUCAACAGGUCAUCUUCCAACGCGUGCAGCCAUGCACUCUCCAAUACAAGAAGGCACUUGGUGUUCAUUUGGGACAACUUCCCAAGCUGGUAUGAGUUCGAGAGCUCUGAAAUCCUCUUGUGAAAUGAAAGAAGACCCAACGUUUUUACAAUGGCUUUCACUGACAUGCGCGGCAUCCUGAAAUGCUCGGGUGGAAUUUGCUCAUGAGCUUUGUAAAAUUACCCUCUAAGAGAGAGCGAAUAGGGAAGGAUUGAAGCUAGGAAAGCCCAUUUACAUUACUGAAGUGCUAAAACAGGACAGAGCUGUUAUCUUGAAUUCAUACAACAAAAACAGCUGAGGACAGCAUGAAAUAGAG
This 810-nucleotide long non-coding RNA is filed under the name Gallus gallus (chicken). RNAcentral's name for it is "lncRNA (ENSGALG00010019526.1)". Lineage: Eukaryota; Metazoa; Chordata; Aves; Galliformes; Phasianidae. The record is from RNAcentral.